CAGUAGCCGCGGUAAUACGAAGGGGGCUAGCGUUGUUCGGAUUUACUGGGCGUAAAGCGCACGUAGGCGGAUCGAUCAGUCAGGGGUGAAAUCCCAGAGCUCAACUCUGGAACUGCCUUUGAUACUGUCGAUCUGGAGUAUGGAAGAGGUGAGUGGAAUUCCGAGUGUAGAGGUGAAAUUCGUUGAGAUCGAAAAGAACACCAACAGCGAAAGCACUCUGCUGGGACGACACUGACACUAAGAGACGAAAGCUAGGGGAGCAAAUGGGAUUAGAUACCCGCGUAGUCCCUGUCUCUUAUAU
Molecule: ribosomal RNA, 301 nt
Filed under: uncultured bacterium
Lineage: Bacteria
Description: partial 16S ribosomal RNA
Rfam family: Bacterial small subunit ribosomal RNA
Source: RNAcentral